Rosa rugosa (rugosa rose) is the source of this 380-nucleotide long non-coding RNA. RefSeq lists it as uncharacterized. Lineage: Eukaryota; Viridiplantae; Streptophyta; Magnoliopsida; Rosales; Rosaceae. The record is from RefSeq and is a predicted model, not a curated record. The transcript is spliced from 3 exons.
UCUUCCUCAUGGAUGAGCGCAUAGGGUGAAAAAGGUAAGAGAGACAGUGCGCAUUAUUAGCCAAGCCCAAGUAAGUCCCCAACCCACCAUAGUCGGAGAAGGGAGCUUUGCUAGGUCUGUGUGUGAGAACCGCUCAUUCAAGAGAGAAAGGUUCGAUUUUGAGUUUACAAACGUGUUAGUCUCCAUUGAUUAGGUGAAACCCAGAAAUGGCUGCUCCACCAGCAAGGGCUAGAGCCGAUUACGAUUACCUCAUAAAGCUUCUUUUGAUCGGUGACAGCGGCCUGUAACAGCCAUACCAUUACAUAUGUUCCACAUUGUAACAGCCAUGCCAUUCUAUGGAUACAUCUACUAUGAAUCCUGAGCAGAGGGCAUAUUAUUCC